RNAcentral lists this long non-coding RNA (462 nucleotides) under Ananas comosus (pineapple). Its description in RNAcentral is "long non-coding RNA (ACOM_LNC011695)". Lineage: Eukaryota; Viridiplantae; Streptophyta; Magnoliopsida; Poales; Bromeliaceae. The record is from RNAcentral.
AUAAAUAUAUUCCUACAAAGUUUAAUUUUAUAUGCUGUCUCUGUAAAAGUUCUGAUAUUUUCAAAUAUGUUCCUACCGUUAGAAUUAGUUAGAGAAAUUUAGUUAAUCAUAGGUUAAAUACUUAACUCCAGUUAGUUAAUGAGGUGAAUUGAUCUUUUUACCCCUUUUAAUGAGGUGAAUUGAUCUUUUUACCCCUUUUUAAUUAACAGUUGGGACUUUUGGAAGAAUAUAUAUUUGUGAUGGCAAAAAUGUCAUUUUACUUAUAAAAUAGAUAGUGUUUUAAUGAUAACAAAUUAGAAGAACAUAUUUGAAAAUAUUAGAAUUUUUAUAGGAACAAUAUAUGAAAGUUAAACUUUGUAGGAAUAUAUUUAUAUUUCACCAUUUUUAUAAGGACCUGAAUGAAAUUAAUCCAAACUAAAAAAAUUCUAUAAACAUAGUCACCCAAGUAGGCUCUUUUUUUUC